This 227-nucleotide unclassified non-coding RNA is filed under the name uncultured Mycena. Its description in RNAcentral is "partial internal transcribed spacer 2". Lineage: Eukaryota; Fungi; Basidiomycota; Agaricomycetes; Agaricales; Tricholomataceae. The record is from RNAcentral.
AAUUCUCAACCUUCAACCGGUUUGCGCUGGUUUUGAAGGCUUGGAUGUGAGGGCUUUGCUGGCUUCCUUUAGUGGCGGUCUGCUCCCUUUAAAUGCAUUAGUGGGUUUCAGUUUUGUGAAACGCUUCACUUUGGUGUGAUAAUUGUCAUCGCCGUUUUUGAAUGCGAAGUAGCAAGCAAUCUAAUGAAACUUGCUUAUAACCGUCCGCAAGGACAAUUACUUUGACC